UUGAAUUAGUUCGUGGUGCUGUGCUGGCCUUUCGGGGCAUGUGCACGCAUUGCAAUUAUUUCAUUAUCUUUUUGUGAACCAGUGUAGGCUUUGGUCCUUUGUCGGUGGAAGCUCUAGAGCGAUAACGCCGUUCGUAGGACUGGGUCUAUGAUUUAUAUAAACCUUUGUAUGUUUUUGAAUGUCUUUUAUUGGCCGCAAGGCUAGUAAAUCUAUA
RNAcentral lists this unclassified non-coding RNA (214 nucleotides) under uncultured Mycena. RNAcentral describes it as "sequence contains ITS1". Lineage: Eukaryota; Fungi; Basidiomycota; Agaricomycetes; Agaricales; Tricholomataceae. The record is from RNAcentral.